AACUGGUUUGUGGCGGCCAAGCGUUCAUAGCAACGUUGCUUUUCGAUCCUCCAAUGUCGGCUCUUCCUACCAUACCGAAGCAGAAUUCGGUAAGCGUUGGACUGUUCACCCAGUGGGGCGUUGGGGCUCGGCGAGCGGAGGCCGGGU
This is a ribosomal RNA of 147 nucleotides. It matches the Rfam family "Eukaryotic large subunit ribosomal RNA", at positions 2828 to 2984 of the family's 3401-position model. The record is from Rfam.